CACGUAGGAUGCAAGCGUUGUCCGGAUUUAUUGGGCGUAAAGAGUUCGUAGGCUGUUUGUUAAGUCUGAUGUUAAAGACUGGGGCUCAACCUCGGAAAUGCAUUGGAUACCGGCAGACUGGAGUGCAGUAGAGGCUAGUGGAAUUCCCAGUGUAGCGGUGAAAUGCGUAGAUAUUGGGAAGAACACCGGUGGCGUAGGCGACUAGCUGGGCUGUAACUGACGCUGAGGAACGAAAGCCAGGGGAGCGAAUGGG
RNAcentral lists this ribosomal RNA (253 nucleotides) under uncultured bacterium. RNAcentral describes it as "partial 16S ribosomal RNA". It matches the Rfam family "Bacterial small subunit ribosomal RNA", at positions 524 to 776 of the family's 1533-position model. The record is from RNAcentral.